GUCCACGCCGUAAACGAUGGAUACUUGGUGUUGGAGGUAUUGACCCCUUCAGUGCCGAAGCUAACGCGUUAAGUAUCCCGCCUGGGAAGUACGGUCGCAAGAUUAAAACUCAAAGAAAUUGACGGGGGCCCGCACAAGAGGUGGAGCAUGUGGUUCAAUUCGAUGCAACGCGAAAAACCUUACCUGGGUUUGAAGUGCUAGUGAAUACGGUAGAGAUAUCGUAGGCCUUCGGGACACUAGUAUCAGGUGCUGCAUGGCUGUCGU
RNAcentral lists this ribosomal RNA (264 nucleotides) under uncultured bacterium. RNAcentral describes it as "partial 16S ribosomal RNA". It matches the Rfam family "Bacterial small subunit ribosomal RNA", at positions 793 to 1055 of the family's 1533-position model. The record is from RNAcentral.